CACGCCGUAAACGAUGAGUACUAGGUGUAGGGGGUAUCGACCCCCCCUGUGCCGCAGUAAACACAAUAAGUACUCCGCCUGGGAAGUACGAUCGCAAGAUUAAAACUCAAAGGAAUUGACGGGGACCCGCACAAGCAGCGGAGCAUGUGGUUUAAUUCGAAGCAACGCGAAGAACCUUACCUGGGUUUGACAUCCACGGAACCCUCUUGAAAGAGAGGGGUGCCCUUCGGGGAGCCGUGAGACAGGUGC
Molecule: ribosomal RNA, 249 nt
Filed under: uncultured bacterium
Lineage: Bacteria
Description: partial 16S ribosomal RNA
Rfam family: Bacterial small subunit ribosomal RNA
Source: RNAcentral